GCUGGCGGCGUGCUUAACACAUGCAAGUCGAGUGCGCGCCUGUAGCAAUACAGGUGGCGCACGGCGCACGGGUGCGUAACACGUGGGCAAUCUGCCCUCUGAUGGGGAAUAACCCGCCGAAAGGCGGGCUAAUACCGCAUAAAAUUCCUUGGACUCAUGUUCGAGGACUCAAAGGCGUAAGUCGUCGGAGGAGGAGCCCGCGCACGAUUAGCUAGUUGGUAGGGUAACGGCCUACCAAGGCUUUGAUCGUUAGCUGGUCUGAGAGGAUGGCCAGCCACACUGGAACUGAGACACGGUCCAGACUCCUACGGGAGGCAGCAGUGGGGAAUCUUGCACAAUGGGCGAAAGCCUGAUGCAGCGACGCCGCGUGGGGGAUGAAGCAUCUCGGUGUGUAAACCCCUUUCGAUCCGGACGAAUACCUCG
This 423-nucleotide ribosomal RNA is filed under the name uncultured soil bacterium. RNAcentral's name for it is "bacterial SSU rRNA". It matches the Rfam family "Bacterial small subunit ribosomal RNA", at positions 35 to 456 of the family's 1533-position model. The record is from RNAcentral.